GUCGCAUACGAGUAAUUUUUCUCUCUUUUUUUUAACACUUUAAAUUAACACCUUCAUCAGCGGCUCUAAUAAUGGCGAUAUGUAAUCGAGUGAAUGACGCAUCUAACAUCUAUACAAGCAGGGAAAUUAACGCAGAAAUUAAAGCACCUUUACUCACAACUGUGAUUUAUGUAAAUCCAUACGCUUAGAUGUAUAACGCGCGAAGAAGAGGAAUUCCCCUCGCUCGCCGAUGAUAAACAGGUGAAUUAUCGGGAAUAAGGCUAUGGGAGGCGCGACGAGAGUUCGAAUGACGCAUUAGGGACGCGACGCGAGUAUCGCAGAUCACUUUGUCACGAUUACCCUAAACUUUUUCUUCCGAUUCCAAAUCGCUUUCGCCUUCUUUUUUUUUUCUUCUCCGCGCUGCAGUUACGAUUAUCUCUCCAACUCGGCGUAUAAUUUCGCCGUAAAUAACGCGAAACUUCGGCUAAUACUCCGGCCCUUAAUAAAAACGGAUACUCGUAUCCCUCUCGCUCUCGAGUGAUAAAUAAACGCUCGCACUGAGUACACGGCGGUUCCAUCAUCGUCUCUUGCUUAGCGAAACUUGAUGAUUUCAUCCGUAAUAUAGCCGAGCCUUCGUGCCAAAAUUCAUUUCGCGGCCGAGUAAUGAAUUUAGUCGCAAGAGAGAGAGAGAGAGAGAGAGAGAGAGAGAGAGAGAGAGAGAGAGAGAGAGAGAGAGAGAGAGAGAGAGAGAGAGAAGGAAGGAAGCAACACAAACACGCCAUUAUUGGUCGGCUGACCGACAAGCGGUGCUACUACUUACAGCGAGAGCCACUUUGAGAGCGGAAAGUGCUGCGCGAUAGCGGUACACGGACACACACACGCACACAGGCCAUUGUGCGUUUAACUUCGUUUUCCAUGCGAAUUUUUCCCCCCCGUCGUGUAAACUGUCGCGAUUGAUCACUGCCGAUUCAUGCCUCUUUUCAUCCAGCGCGCGUGUGUAUUAAAUCAUCAGCGCGUAUAGUGUAUGCGCUUCGACGAAAUUCGCCUCAUUUUUUUUUUCUUCUCGAAACGAAACCACUCACGGCAACGGCUUUUAUUAGAUUCAUGCGACUUCAUCGAGUUAUACGCGCAAACUGUGUUUUCAGCGCGUUAUACAGACGGCCGGCUCGCGGAAGUAAAAACUUUGCCCCUCGCGGUUCAUUUAAAUUUCAUCAAAAUGUUAAACCAGUACCAGCCUCGUAACUUAUUCGCAAACUCAAAAAUGAUUCGCGCGAGCGCCUGGCUUUGAUUGCCGGCUCAUUAUGCGGCAAUUAUAUACUAUACUCUGCGAAACGCGGUGAAAGUCUCGGAGAGCGCGGAAGCUAAUCUGGCGUAUUGAUCCGAAGCCGCAGAGUGUAUAUACGGCAAGUUGUUCGGUCAGUCGCAGCACGUGGGGCCAUGAUUUCUGUAUGAAGAGAGAGAGAGAAAGAGAGAAAGAUUCAUAUGCGUUCGUGUCUCAAACCGUAUAAUGAUUAUUACGCAGGGAGGAAGCCGCCGCGCCCUUUGGGAACGACGCCCACGCACUUCGGGCUGAAUUUUGAGAAAAAUAGACACAGAGCCAGCUGUUGCCGCGUAUAUACAAUCCCGUUGAUUAGACUUUAUAGAGCGACGCGGUAAAGUAUUUUAGUAGUCCACGCGCGCAAAGAGACAAUAAAUAGAAUCCAAUUACACUUGCCUCUUCGUCUUUUGUUUUUCGAAGGAUGAGUCGCGAUACGCGAAAUCGAUGAAGGAGUGAAGAGACUCUUUAGUAAGUCUCGAGUGAAUUCUUUUAUCGAAAAAUAGAAACACACAGCUCUCGGUCUAUACAAACCGAAGAACUGCGACUGUAGCGCUUCAUUCGAAACUGAUAGCAGCUUUUACGCUGUAGACGCGCAAGUAUGCAUAACAAGGAGCUUAAACGCGCUUCCGUUCGGUCCGUGUGUAUUGUGUAUCGAAGAAAACGUGGGUCGUAAACACAAGCGACACAGCUUUGUCGCGGGAGCAAUGAAUAUUUUACAGCCGAUACCAUACCGCAGACGUACACUGUGAAUUCAAUUGAUCAUACACUCGCGGGUGGUUAGUAUAACUCGAUGUAUCAAAAUAUAAAAAGCUAUAUACUCGCUUUGUAUACCAGAGGCUCUAUUUGAUGGUUACAGUUCCGUUUUGUCGCCGCGAGGAGAUAACAACGUUACUUUUAUACAGCGUUUAUACUAGGAUAGGAGGUUUUUGAAGCCGUCAUUAAAUUCCCAUUAAUCAGUUGAAGCGCGAAACGUCCGCAGUCUGAUGCUAGCUGCUCCCGAGCGUAUAACGACAUCAUCGCGUACAGGACAAUCAAAAUCUUCCCUUUCGUCCCCCACGAGAGAUAUAGUCACGUGGAAUGGAAGUGGAGUCGUUCGAGUAUAGCGUCCGUCGUGUACUUACACACAUACUUGUAUACUAAGCUUGAAGGUGGUGGGAUUGAUCGUCUAAUGCAAACCUGGUUUCUUUUUUCCCUGCGCAUACUCUCGCUUUCGUGCUUGAAAUUUAUUGUGGUCUCGUCCCCGCGCGCAUCAGCUGUGGUGUAGCGUGUCUGGUUAUAAUAUGAGCGCGCGCAAGAAAAUGCAAGAGUGGAAGCCCUGCUCCCGUAUAUAAAUAUAGCGCUUCGGAAGUUCGAGCAAUAUAACCUGUGUGCGCAUCAAGCUUUAUUCAGCGGGAUUCGAUCAAAUUUCGUGUACAACGUGUGUGUUGCUUAUUGGACCUCAUUCGGAAUGUGUGAAGAAGCAUUGAAACGUUUUCAUCGGAGAUUAUAAAUUCGACGAUUUUUCACGUUUACUGAAAACCGCCGAUUUUUCCAGUCACCGAAACAAUACCAUUACAGCGGCGGUAACCUCGACCAUAUUGGCGGUGGCAAUCUUCUCAGAAAAAAAGUUGUAAAAAUUCCGAAUGAGUAUUUUACUGAAACUACAACAACGUCUGUUCCUGUUGAAACAACUACUUCGGACCUUAAAGCUGAUAGGCGUCUAAUCGGUAAAAGAGAAGCGAAAGCCACCGAUUUUAGCAGCCUCAGAGCUAAACGCGACUUUCCGGACAAUCCUUUUCCUAUAUAUAAUACAGCUGUUUCCCGACGUCAUGAUUUUCCCAACGAGCAAGCCUAAUCCUGAAACAACGACAACCACGACUACCACGACGACGGCUGCUCCAAAAGAGCAUAAGCAUAAUUAUGAUUCAAGAGGUACCCUCGAUUCGAUCGGAGGUGGUAAAAUUAUCAGGAGGAGAGAGGCGACUUCUGGCAACCUCAACAUUAAGCGUGACGCUAUAUAGCCGAUACCAUUGGAGAAAGAGGUGGAAUCAUCAGAAAUAAACGCAAGUUUGUGAGUUACGAAGAAUAUCUCGACCCGAAUUUCACAACGACGACGACUACACCUAAACCCGAUCGGAGGCGGCAGCCUUAUCGGAUGAGAUGUCUAUUUUAUUUUUAAAUCAUUUGCAACUAAUUUAAUUUGAAACUCGAAUAAAUACCUCUUUUGUACAAAAAAACCU
RNAcentral lists this long non-coding RNA (3516 nucleotides) under Nasonia vitripennis (jewel wasp). RNAcentral describes it as "uncharacterized LOC116738539". Lineage: Eukaryota; Metazoa; Arthropoda; Insecta; Hymenoptera; Pteromalidae. The record is from RNAcentral.